AUUUAAUUUCAAAUCGAAGUCGAGCGAGCUGAAUACCAGACCGAAUGCGAGCCGAACACAAACGGCGUGCUGAUCCACUACAACAGAAUUAGGUUAUAGGGACACAUGUUUGGGACACUUUUGAGUAAGUGUCCUAUUUAUGCUAAAACUUAAAAAUACAUCUACUAAUGCCUAAAUAUAAAGCCCAAUCCAACCAAAAAUAAAAGAUUACCCUACUCAACCCACCACACCCAGUCCAUUUGGUCUGAUUACAAACAGAAAAGAAAAAAAAAGAAAAAUCAAUUACCAUCUUUUCUUCUCUCUUCACUCAAUCCACUGAAAUUCUAGACGAAGAGCCUUUACUAUCGUCCUCCUCCGCCACCGCAGCCAACAAGAUAGAGUUUUGGCGGUUGCUAAAUGCUUAAAUAAGUGUUGGUAAAUUAGCAGCACUCUUUUAGGUUAUAGCGACACUCUUUAACUGUCACUAUAUACCUAGCGACCCCACAUAUAGCAACAUUUUUUAAAAGUGUCGGUAAUUUUAGCUAGCAGCACUUUUUUGACAUGUACCUACAUUUAAAAGUGUCGCUAUAGACCGUUUUUAUUGUAGUGGAUGAUUUGCCAGCCCUAAUAACGAUCGGGUUUCGAUGCAAUAGUUAUAUUCC
Molecule: long non-coding RNA, 641 nt
Filed under: Ananas comosus (pineapple)
Lineage: Eukaryota; Viridiplantae; Streptophyta; Magnoliopsida; Poales; Bromeliaceae
Description: long non-coding RNA (ACOM_LNC016367)
Source: RNAcentral